UACAUAGGGGGCAAGCGUUGUUCGGAAUUACUGGGCGUAAAGGGCUCGUAGGCGGCCAACUAAGUCAGACGUGAAAUCCCUCGGCUUAACCGGGGAACUGCGUCUGAUACUGGAUGGCUUGAAUCCGGGAGAGGGAUGCGGAAUUCCAGGUGUAGCGGUGAAAUGCGUAGAUAUCUGGAGGAACACCGGUGGCGAAGGCGGCAUCCUGGACCGGCAUUGACGCUGAGGAGCGAAAGCCAGGGGAGCAAACGGG
RNAcentral lists this ribosomal RNA (253 nucleotides) under uncultured bacterium. RNAcentral describes it as "partial 16S ribosomal RNA". It matches the Rfam family "Bacterial small subunit ribosomal RNA", at positions 524 to 776 of the family's 1533-position model. The record is from RNAcentral.